AGGAAAUGAACCACAGGCUCCAGCAUCCUCCAGAGCGAAGGGAUGACAGGACUGAGGGCUUAAGGUGCAGGCUGCGAUCAGACAGGAUCCAAGUCCUGGACCUAUACUCACCAGCUUAUGUGACUUUUCUGGGGAGAGGAAACUCAGGCUGGCGGCAGAUCAAGAAGGCAGAGUCAGAAGACAUGAAGCUCAUCUCCUCCCACAAACACAACGAAGAUAAAUGUACAUGUGGAACAAUUCUCACAGAAAACCAACUGGAAACAGGCUGAGGGAGGCAAAGUCACUUGCCUCGUCUCACAGUGUAUCUGGCUGAGAUGCUGCUACGGAACAUUACUCUUGACCAUUGCAACACUGCACCGCUCCUCUCUUUAAUGUCCUUGAGCAUGCGGUUUCAUCCCUGAUUCAUCACCCCUCUUCCUGGUCAUGUGCCAAGAGCUUCACUGGGGCCGGGACUACAUUUUGUUCAUCUCAUUCCAUCCUCCUCACAACGCUGUGAGGUGGGUACCAUUAUUACCAUUUUACCCAUAGAGGCAAGAGUUCAAAUAAACUAGAAGUACCUAAUAUAUACAUAAAAAGACUAGAUAUUAAUAAAAAGUAUACAAAAGGGAGAAC
Molecule: long non-coding RNA, 612 nt
Organism: Dama dama (fallow deer)
Lineage: Eukaryota; Metazoa; Chordata; Mammalia; Artiodactyla; Cervidae
Exons: 2
Source: RefSeq, a predicted model, not a curated record